GCGUGAAGUUGGAAUCGCUAGUAAUCGCGGAUCAGCAUGCCGCGGUGAAUACGUUCCCGGGCCUUGUACACACCGCCCGUCACACCAUGAGAGUCGGGAACACCCGAAGUCCGUAGCCUAACAGCAAUGGGGCGCGGCCGAAGGUGGGUUCGAUAAUUGGGGUGAAGUCGUAACAAGGUAUC
Molecule: ribosomal RNA, 182 nt
Filed under: uncultured bacterium
Lineage: Bacteria
Description: partial 16S ribosomal RNA
Rfam family: Bacterial small subunit ribosomal RNA
Source: RNAcentral